AAUCAACGCUGGCGGCGUGCCUAACACAUGCAAGUCGAACGCGAAAGUCCCGCAAGGGAUGAGUAGAGUGGCAAACGGGUGAGUAACGCGUGGGUGACCUGCCUUCGAGCGGGGGAUAACGUCCCGAAAGGGACGCUAAUACCGCAUAACAUCCUGCUUUUUAACAAGUGGAGAUCAAAGCUGGGGAUCGCAAGACCUAGCACUCGAAGAGGGGCCCGCGUCUGAUUAGCAGUUGGUGAGGUAACGGCUCACCAAGGCGACGAUCAGUAUCCGGCCUGAGAGGGCGGACGGACACACUGGGACUGAGACACGGCCCAGACUCCUACGGGAGGCAGCAGUGGGGAAUUGUUCGCAAUGGGCGCAAGCCUGACGACGCAACGCCGCGUGGAGGAUGAAGACC
RNAcentral lists this ribosomal RNA (400 nucleotides) under uncultured bacterium. RNAcentral's name for it is "bacterial SSU rRNA". It matches the Rfam family "Bacterial small subunit ribosomal RNA", at positions 29 to 416 of the family's 1533-position model. The record is from RNAcentral.